Molecule: long non-coding RNA, 803 nt
Organism: Felis catus (domestic cat)
Lineage: Eukaryota; Metazoa; Chordata; Mammalia; Carnivora; Felidae
Exons: 7
Source: RefSeq, a predicted model, not a curated record
AGCUGAGUACGUGGUGAUUUGCAUGGACCCCAGGAGGCUUACUCAAUGUGCACGUCCAAGUAAACAGCACAGGAAACGAGCCAUGAGGAUAUAAACCUGGUAAUUCUCCAUCAUAAGAAAGACAUCAUGCUGUCCACCUCAUGAAGGAAGAUGAGAUUAAGGCACACACACGGGGAGGGGCAGAAUUGGAAUACCUCGGAGAUGUGGGUUUGGUACCAGAACACUGCCAUAAAGUGAAUAUCUCAAAAAAUAGGUAGUGUCUGAGCAGUGGAGGCUGAACGCAUGAGGUAUACUGCAGAGACAAUCAUAAGAUGUGGUGGAAUCCCUACAGCACUAAAAGUGUGAGAAACAAAGUAAGGGACAAUGUAGAGGACCCAGGACACGAAUUGGGGGCAUUUUACCUGGUCUGCACAUUUGGAACCUUGGGAAUUUGAUAAACUGAGCAUACAACUAUUACUGGAAAUGAAUUGACAAAAAGUAUUUAAGAGAGUAAAAGAUUUAGCAGUGGAUGACAUCAUUGAGCAAACCACAUCCCAGGGGCCGGUUCUGAAGAUACUGACAACCUGGAGAACCAAAGGGGAACAAAUGCUGAAGUACACAAAAAUGGGAUCCAGGUUGUUUCUGUUAAGGUGAGUAGAAGAUGCAUCUUUAGCCUCUCCUGCCUUGAAGUGGCCCAUGCUUCCCCUUCGAAAGCCUGGAGUUACCACAAAUGCAUUAGAAAACUAAUGGCAUCCAUGAUGGAAUGAUAUGAAUAAAAUAUUCCAACCCUCUACGCUCUGGUUUUAUCAGGCUACAAAACUCAA